Molecule: non-coding RNA, 6502 nt
Organism: Nothobranchius furzeri (turquoise killifish)
Lineage: Eukaryota; Metazoa; Chordata; Actinopteri; Cyprinodontiformes; Nothobranchiidae
Source: RefSeq, a predicted model, not a curated record
AAAUAUGCUUUUUAUCACAAGAUUCACAAUUUUUCAUCUUCAACUCUAGCGCAGUAAACCACACCAGCCUGCAUUGUCUCUCUCAGGAAUCCUAGAACAACGACGACGGAUAAUAGAAGCACAAUGAAGCCAAGAUUACAACUGGUUUGAAUAAAUAUCUUUAUUGUCACUGAAACACGUUCAACGAAAUUAGCAGUGCUUAAUUUGUAAAUGAAACGCUCCCGGAACGCAAAUAGUGACGUCAAACCAAAGUUCACUAUAGGCAAAACAGAACAGAUACCAGAACACGCACUGGGGUCCCUCCGGUUGAUUUGCUGGAGUUUUUGACAAUUAAAAUUGCACAUGUCACACAUUUCUUUCAACAACGGUAGUUUUUGCAUCUUUACUGUUCCCCUGCUUAGCGGCGCAAACUCCCUGAUAAUUUCAUUCUCUGUUCCUCAUUUCUGAUUAUUUUCAAUGGAAUCUGUUUGUUGCAACCACUAGGUACAAAACGAACUUGUUUUUAUUUGACUAUUUAUCUUCCUGCAUCUCCUCUCGAUCCUAAAUCCGUCAGAGAUGGAGAAGGUAAUGAAAAAGGUUUAUUGUUCUAUUUUCCUCUGAAAUUCAUCUAAAGUAUGGGGAGAAGGCGCGGACGAGUUUAAUAGAAUUUCUUCGGCCUCAUCUGAAGGAGGAGUUUGGCAGGCUAGAAUUUGAUCUAAAAUCUCAUCAUUUGAAGCUAAUUCAUCCUCUACUUCACUCAGAUCUGAAAGUCUGCAUAAAUCAAACCAAUCCGGCAGCAGCAAAUUAUUGUAUUCAGGUGUAUGGUUAACAUCAUGUGAUUGUUCUAUUUGCCUCAGAAUUUCAUCUAAAGUUUGUGGAGAUGGCUGAUCUGAAUUUAAUAGAAUUUCUUCGGCCUCAUCUGAAGGAGGAGGAGUUUGGCAGGCUAGAAUUCGAUCUAAAAUCCCAUUAUUUGAAGCUAAUUCAUCAUCAUCCAAAUCUGAAAGUCCACUCAGAUCGAACCAAUUCGGUAGCAAAUCACAAUAUUCAGGCUUAUGACUCAUGAUACAAAGAGAAAAAAAUUGAAAAAACCUACUAUAAACUUGAUGAAUGAAAAAUAAAUCCUUGGUCCUCCUCUCUCUUUUAAUCCUCACAGAGACAGAACAUUCCCCAUGAUGUUCACAAGCCCGUAGGAGAUCUGCAGAAGCAUGUACGCCAUUUUCAUACGGUUCGUUCUUUGAAGACGAGUGAGCCGCUGAUUCCUCCUCCGAUAUAAUUCUGGAUGGAGAAAUAGAGAGUAUGAAUGAAUCGUCAUCUUUUAAUAAAAACUUUAUUAAACACUUUAUUCUGAUUACUUACCAGGUCUCUGUGUAGCAGUGGCAGGAUGGCGCGGCGCGUCUUUCCCCGGCUUUCCACGGGAGCCGUCAGCAGCACGUUACUGCAGCAGCACGUCACAGCUGCUGAUAGGAACCGCUGUGGUCAACAGAACGUUUUCCACUGGAGCCGUCAGCAGCACGUUACUGCAGCAGCACGUCACAGCUGCUGAUAGGAACCGCUGUGGUCAACAGAACGUUUUCCACUGGAGCCGUCAGCAGCCAUCAGUAGCGCGAGUCGGCCGCGUCUAAGGAGCAGCAUGUCGCGGCCUUUACGCGCCGGUUCUAUUUUCUACGCGCGACGCCUCUGAAACGGGUCAAUUUCGACAUUUUUGGGGAAGGAAAGACAGGAAAUCGGACGCGGAAAUGGAGAGAAGCUCCCGAGAUUUUCAGAAUAAAGAACGUACUGCCUUCCGGUUGCUUUACUUUUAAAAAACGUUGCUAACUGUGCGUCCCCGUGAGAAGUGAUCACCUAGCUAGCGGUCUCCUUUGUUUUUCAGGUCCGUAUUGGCGAUUAUUAAACGGACAGAACAUAAAACACAAACCAUGUUGUAAUUUUCUCCUGAUUGUUGUUGUGUUUACUGACGAAGUCACUCGUGUGACUUCGUGCUCGGUCGGUGACAGCUGCUCCCCUGCUGCUUCGCGUCUCGUGGGAAGGGCCAAGCAGCAGCUCACGCGAGCAAGACGUGCUGCUGCAGUAACGUGCUGCUGACGGCUCCCGUGGAAACCCGGGGUUACUCGCUGGUCACCGGUGGCUGUUCUGGCUGUGACGCCACCCCCUCGUCACAGCCGUGUUGAGGUGUGGGUGUGACAAAGUCUUGACUUGCGGCGUAUUGCUGUGAGGGGCGUUCCUGAUCGUCUCUGUUUCCUCCCUGUCCUUCUGGGGAAAUAAGACAUUUCUCAGCUGAAAGGGAUGUAUCACGUUAUUAAAUUAUGUAUAAAAAAUCACUUACCGAGUUCGCUCAAAGCUCUGUCGAGCUGGCUAAAUGUUUCUUGCGGGGUUGGUGGCGGUGGUGGUGGUGGCGGUGUCUCGCGUUCUAAUUGAGACUGAGGGAUUUCGCCAGCCCAUUCACUCUUGGAUGACACGACAGUUGCGGCUAAAAAAAAUAGAUUAGGUGUCGGUAGAUUGAUAAAACAUUGGAAGGUGUAGUUUGAGUAAAUUCUUCCACUUACCUGACAUCACGGUGUGCUUCAGAGAAUGAGAUCCGAGAUGGUUUUUCCCAUUACAGAUAUAUGGUCUUUUUGAAAAAAAAAAAUCUUGAAUGGAAACGACGCGAUUGGUCGAGGGUGAUGUUUAAAACACUUUAUAAAACAUCACAAUGAAUUCAAUUACCAUUGUUAACCCUUCUGUCGUGUCUCAGAGACAGAACAUUCCCCAUGAUGUUCACAAGCCCGUAGGAGAUCUGCAGAAGCAUGUACGCCAUUUUCAUACGGUUCGUUCUUUGAAGACGAGUGAGUCGCUGAUUCCUCCUCCGAUAUAAUUCUGGAUGGAGAAAUAGAGAGUAUGAAUGAAUCGUCAUCUUUUAAUAAAAACUUUAUUAAACACUUUAUUCUGAUUACUUACCAGGUCUCUGUGUAGCAGCGGCAGGAUGGCGCGGCGCGUCUUACUCGCUGGUCACCGGUGGCUGUUCUGGCUGUGACGCCACCCCCUCGUCACAGCCGUGUUGAGGUGUGGGUGGAACACUGAUGUUAUCAACCUGAUGAAAUUGUGCAUUGAUCAACUUGAAACCAACAAGAGUUGAAAAAUAAAAGUUGAUGAAAAGCAAAAUCAAGAGUUGUCCCUGAGUGUCCCUUUGGAGUAGUGUGGAGCUUAACAGUUGACAACCACAGAGCACCCUGGAUAAGAAGAUAAAGGGCUUCAAACCAGAAAAGCUGUGGACGCAAGAGGAAAUAAAGAUGGCAGAAGAGGUCUUAGGGAAGACGGUCAAACUGCUGAAGCAGGAGAGGACCAGUGCAAAGAGCAGCUUCACCAGACUUGCCAACUUCAUUACAAGGGGAGCAGAUAUCAUGCUAAAAACUGAAUUAAAGGAGGAAUUUGGAAAACUUUCAGACCGGUUCAGGUCAGUUCUUGACUCUAAUGAGGACUUUAGGAUUGGACUGGAGGCUGAUGUCAAGGCAGCGGAUGAAGAAGCAGAACUUGAUGAGCAGCAACAGACCGAAUAAAAUGAAGGUUACUGACAUUGUACAAACUAACCUGUGGGGAACAUAUGGAGAAAAAGAACUUAAAACAUCAAUUCAUGAAGCAGAAGAAGUAGUUGAUGGAGCUGAAAAUAUGCAAGUCAAAAGUGACAAUUUGGAGGGCUAUGAGGUUCACCUCAUGUUAUUAGGUGAGAAGGUUAGUACAUCCAUCUCAGCUAUGUCUGCGUGGGAGAGGUGGAUUCCUGAAUCAUCGAGAGAUGAAGUGAAUGGGAGACUGCAAGGACUGAGAGCGGCCCACAGCAGGCUAAAACUGAAAAAAGCUGAAUUUGCCAUAUCGAGGAGGCUAGCUGAUAAAGACACAAACGGUAAACAUAUCCAACCAUUACCACCUUUUGUGAAGAUAAAACCAACUACUCUGCCCCUCUUCCUGGGAAGUAUGAGAGUUCCACAGGUGGACAAAAGACUGGGAGAGCCUGCAAAGGCAGGGAGAGCCCACUGGCUCACCUGAAGUGCUCAAGAUUCAGCUCCUGAAGAGUGUGAGUGAGACCAUUGUGAAGGAGCUGAGACUGUCAACUUAUACAACUGCAGAUGAUAUGUUCAGAGUCCUGGAGAAUAGAUAUGGCAACAAGUCUACCAUUGCAGUUGAAAUCCUUGAAGAAUUAGACAAAAUGCCUCAGGUGAAGGGAACCAGCCGAGGAGAGUCAUUGACCUCAUUUAAUCUGUAGAGAAAGCCCUGGCAGAUCUGACAGAGCUGAGGAACGUUGGAGCCAUAAAAAAUCCGUUAGUCAUUAAGUCCAUUGAAAGCAAGUGACCUGACUUCAUAAAAAGAGACUGGCUAACAUUUCUAGUUAACCCUAAAAACAAUGUCACAGCAGAUACUCACUUUGACACGCUCUUGAAGUUCCUGAAGAACUAUGGGCUCAACACACGGGAGGCGACAAACGACCGCGAUCAGCGAAAUUUGUCGCCGUCGCUUUUAUUACCUGACACACGGGAGGCGAUCCGCGGCAGCGGCCAGCGGCAAAGCCGUCUACACGUUCUGUUCCAUGGCAAAAUCGAAACUUCCGUUGUUUUGUUUGGCUGUGUCAGGUUGGAGGGAAUUAAGGUUAUUUAAGCGGUUCAGAGUUUAAAAAGUGGUAGAUAGGAUGUUUCACAAGGUACUGCUAGAGUUAUGUGAAAUCUUACUUCUGAUUUUACUAUAUAAAACAUAAUAAUAAUCAACUUCUCCUUCAUGUUUGCUCGGAGAUGUACGGAGCGUCCUGUCCGCUCAUUGGUCAAUGAAUGAAACCUCCGUUGAUUGGUCCUUGUCCGAGCGACAGCGAUGAAAAGUUGAAAAUGUUUCAACUUUCUGGGAUCGCGUCGCUGGGUCGCCUGUGCACAACACGUGCACGAGCGCAAAAUUUCACACGCAUGUUUUUCGCGUUUCGCUUGGUAGGAGGGAGACCCGCGAUGAUCCUUUUGUCGCGCAUGUCUCAUUGAAAACGAAUGGAGGAGAGGCGAUGUCGCCUCCCGUGUGUCGAGCCCAUUAGAAUUGUGGACAAGGUGGACAAGCCAGAAAAAAGGCAUGAAAGAAAGUCUACAUCAGCCAGAGCUACAGCAAAAGAAGUUGAAAAGGGUUGUGGUGUCUGUGGUGAUUAUGGGCACAGCCAGGGACACCGUAAAGCGGUGAAAGAUUCGGAAGAUUCUAAGGGCCCACAGCUGUCAGGGACCCAAAAAUGUUUCAAAGUUGAAUAAAAAAAUAAGUUUAAAAAUCACAAGUACUUUGCAGUAUUUUUACUCAUUUAAGACAUUAAACAGUCUUUUAGUCUUUAUGAAAUGUAUAUUUAUUCAGAGGUCCCUACUUGAUUUUGACUAAUUAAUUUGAACCCCCCACCCAACAGCAUAAGAUGGUACAGUCCACCUGGCCGAGGGGCGCGUAGCAGGCAAGGCUGCAGAGCCAAGGCUGCAGUAAAAAUAUGUCUGCAAAAACAAAGUCUGGGUCACAGAAAAGGGAAGAAAGAAAGGAGAAAGAGGACGGGCAGAAGAGAGAGCGUCAGUAUGUCACACAGUUUUUCUGAAAGAAAGGUGGGUUUAGUUAGUGAGUGGUUAAAUUCAACCUGUUUGCUAGCUCUGAUAUCCACAAUGAGAGGAACUAUGUUUCAUCUAAUUAUGGUUAGUGGGUUGUUGUCCUUGUCCCUACCAGAAUCAGCAGCUGAUGAUAUGUCAGCAGGUGUCCCCUCACAACCCAAUGAACCUCAAGAUGGUGAGCAAUGUAGCAUGUUAGCUAGCAGCCUCAUUUAAGGGGGUCUGUGGGAAUCACUUAAGGCUCUCUGUAAGUACUAUUACAAAGGAAUAUAAAAAGGCUAUUUUUGGUGAUAAACACAUUGUUUUUCCACAUAAUGAUAAUUAUAUAUAUCAAUCAGUAAAAAUGUAUAGAUUGUUUUGGAUGCUGGGCAGGUUGAAGCAUUGUUAUUUAGUCUGUUAAAGUAACAUAAAUUACUGUGAGAUUAUUACUGUGAAGCACCUUUUAAGGAAUCAUUCAAGAAAAAAAAACCUCUUCAUCUAGUAAACACCUUGAAAUGAAAUGUUUUGAAUCAGACUGAAUUAUGGGAGGUUUUACAAGAUGCAAUUUGUUUUUGUAGCUUUUAGAACACGAACCAAAAAUCAGUGAUUUCCAAAUAAUUCAUCAGAGAGCAGAAAUGAAACAAAAGCUAUUAAUAAUUGUAAUAAAUAAACUUAAUAUAAUAUUAAACACAAUAAAAUAUGAAAUCUAGUAUUGAUCAUUAUCGAACAUUAUUAAUUAUAUCACUGUAAAUAAUAAAUCUUGCUGUGUACAAUCAAGGCUGAAUAUAUUUUUAGCUGUUUUGUUGUUGUUGAGAAAAAUGGGUGUGUAGAGACUUAUAUACGUAUUCAUUCAACGUUGACCAACUUUAAAAUAUUAUGUAACCCUAACUGACUCCGGUUUGAACUGUGUGCUUAUUCAUUUUGUGUCUAUGAUGAAGCCAUGGAGACUUAAUAAAGAAGUCACCUUGUGA